RNAcentral lists this ribosomal RNA (497 nucleotides) under uncultured bacterium. RNAcentral's name for it is "partial 16S ribosomal RNA". It matches the Rfam family "Bacterial small subunit ribosomal RNA", at positions 28 to 507 of the family's 1533-position model. The record is from RNAcentral.
GAUGAACGCUGGCGGCGUGCCUAAUACAUGCAAGUCGAGCGAACAGAUGAGGAGCUUGCUCCUCUGACGUUAGCGGCGGACGGGUGAGUAACACGUGGAUAACCUACCUAUAAGACUGGGAUAACUUCGGGAAACCGGAGCUAAUACCGGAUAAUAUAUUGAACCGCAUGGUUCAAUAGUGAAAGACGGUUUUGCUGUCACUUAUAGAUGGAUCCGCGCCGCAUUAGCUAGUUGGUAAGGUAACGGCUUACCAAGGCAACGAUGAGUAGCCGACCUGAGAGGGUGAUCGGCCACACGGGAACUGAGACACGGUCCAGACUCCUACGGGAGGCAGCAGUAGGGAAUCUUCCGCAAUGCGCUAAGGCCUGACGGAGCAACGCCGCGUGAGUGAUGAAGGUCCUCGGAUCGUAAAACUCUGUUAUUAGGGAAGACCAAAGGUGUAAGUAACUAUGCACGUCUUGACGGUACCUAAGCAGAAAGCCACGGCUAACUACGUG